This 512-nucleotide ribosomal RNA is filed under the name uncultured bacterium. RNAcentral describes it as "bacterial SSU rRNA". It matches the Rfam family "Bacterial small subunit ribosomal RNA", at positions 266 to 769 of the family's 1533-position model. The record is from RNAcentral.
UACCAAGGCGACGAUCCGUAGCGGGUCUGAGAGGAUGAUCCGCCACACUGGGACUGAGACACGGCCCAGACUCCUACGGGAGGCAGCAGUGGGGAAUUUUGGACAAUGGGCGGAAGCCUGAUCCAGCCAUGCCGCGUGAGUGAAGAAGGCCUUCGGGUUGUAAAGCUCUUUCGGCCGGGAAGAAAUCGCAUGGGUCAAUACCCUGUGUGGAUGACGGUACCGGAAUAAGAAGCACCGGCUAACUACGUGCCAGCAGCCGCGGUAAUACGUAGGGUGCGAGCGUUAAUCGGAAUUACUGGGCGUAAAGCGUGCGCAGGCGGUUUGGUAAGUCAGAUGUGAAAUCCCCGGGGCUCAACCUGGGAACUGCAUUUGAGACUGCCAAGCUGGAGUUUGGCAGAGGGGGGUGGAAUUCCACGUGUAGCAGUGAAAUGCGUAGAGAUGUGGAGGAACACCGAUGGCGAAGGCAGCCCCCUGGGCCAAUACUGACGCUCAUGCACGAAAGCGUGGGGAGC